RNAcentral lists this ribosomal RNA (253 nucleotides) under uncultured bacterium. RNAcentral describes it as "partial 16S ribosomal RNA". It matches the Rfam family "Bacterial small subunit ribosomal RNA", at positions 524 to 776 of the family's 1533-position model. The record is from RNAcentral.
GACAGAGGUGGCAAGCGUUGUUCGGAUUUAUUGGGUGUAAAGGGUCCGUAGGUGGUCUAACAAGUCUGAUGUGAAAUCCCAUGGCUCAACCGUGGAACUGCAUUGGAAACUGUUGGACUUGAGUACCGCAGAGGUAAAGGGAAUUCCCGGUGUAAGGGUGAAAUCUGUAGAUAUCGGGAGGAACACCAGUGGCGAAGGCGCUUUACUGGGCGGUUACUGACACUGAGGGACGAAAGCAAGGGGAGCAAACAGG